Molecule: transfer RNA, 37 nt
Filed under: Archaeolacerta bedriagae (Bedriaga's rock lizard)
Lineage: Eukaryota; Metazoa; Chordata; Lepidosauria; Squamata; Lacertidae
Description: transfer RNA-Leu
Source: RNAcentral
ACUUCUAUAGGAAAGCAGUAAUCCAUUGGUUUUAGGU